This is a long non-coding RNA of Syzygium oleosum, 504 nucleotides long. RefSeq lists it as uncharacterized. NCBI's taxonomy places the organism in Eukaryota, Viridiplantae, Streptophyta, Magnoliopsida, Myrtales, Myrtaceae. The record is from RefSeq and is a predicted model, not a curated record. The transcript has 4 exons.
CGAGAAACGAGACAGCUUCAAUCUCAAGCAUUGCAAUUCGUCCGUGGGCACCAGCACGAGAGCGUGCAGAUAACAUUGGGCCGACCAAAUGGGUUCGAAGUGCAAGGAAUUUGCUUUCUAAAAACCUAAAGCUAUUGAAGAUGGUCAAAAGGACUUUCAGCGCAGAGUUGAGUAAACAUCCCAAGUGGUACGAGACAGCUUGCAGCUUAAAGUAACAAGCCGUAGUUGCUGCAUUCAAAGACUCAAAAACUGGGCUUUGAUUCAGCACUUGUGAGGAGCAGGAGCUUAUAUGACUCUUAAAAAGCAGAAGAAUGAUGUUAAUUUCAGGAGGCGGUGUGGCAGGCAGUAAUUCACCUCAAUUUUCUAUCACCUCAUACAUCAGUGACGAAUGCUCAACUUGCAUGAGCUAUUGACAUAGUUGGACGCCAAUUCUUCAUUCGUUGUUGACUUUGCAGAUCAGGUUGGUUUCAAUAACAGUCCAUACUGGAUGAGCACAAAUAAUUG